CCUGGCAGAGGUUACUGCUAUCGAGGUUCGACUAAGCCAUGCGAGUCGAAUGUAGCAAUACAUGGCGUACUGCUCAGUAACACGUGGACAACCUACCCUGAGGUCGGGGAUAAACCCGGGAAACUGGGUAUAAUACCCGAUAGAUCUAGAUUGCUGGAAUGCUUUUAGGUCUAAAGUUCCGACGCCUCAGGAUGGGUCUGCGGCCUAUCAGGGUAGUAGUGGGUGUAAAGUACCUACUAGCCUACGACGGGUACGGGUUGUGAGAGCAAGAGCCCGGAGAUGGAUUCUGAGACACGAAUCCAGGCCCUACGGGGUGCAGCAGGCGCGAAACCUUUACAAUGCUGGCAACAGCGAUAAGGGGACCUCGAGUGCUACGAUACAAUCGUGGCUGUCUAGUUGCCUAAAAAGCAAUUGAUAGCAAGGGCCGGGCAAGACCGGUGCCAGCCGCCGCGGUAACACCGGCGGCUCGAGUGGUAACCGCUAUUAUUGGGUCUAAAGGGUCUGUAGCCGGCUUAGUUAGUCUCUUGAGAAAUCUGGCCGCUCAACGGUCAGGCGUUCAGGGGAUACUGCUAGAGCUCGAGACCGGGAGAGGUGAGAGGUACUUCAGGGGUAGGGGUGAAAUCUUGUAAUCCUUGAAGGACCACCAGUGGCGAAGGCGUCUCACCAGAACGGAUCUGACGGCAAGGGACGAAAGCUAGGGGCACGAACCGGAUUAGAUACCCGGGUAGUCCUAGCCGUAAACGAUACUCGCUAGGUGUCGGCCACGGUGCGACCGUGGUCGGUGCCGUAGGGAAGCCGUGAAGCGAGCCACCUGGGAAGUACGGCCGCAAGGCUGAAACUUAAAGGAAUUGGCGGGGGAGCACUACAACGGGUGGAGCUUGCGGUUUAAUUGGAUUCAACGCCGGAAAUCUUACCGGGGCCGACAGCGAUAUGAAGGCCAGGCUAAGGACCUUGCCUGAUUAGCUGAGAGGUGGUGCAUGGCCGUCGUCAGUUCGUACUGUGAAGCAUCCUGUUAAGUCAGGCAACGAGCGAGACCCA
RNAcentral lists this ribosomal RNA (1038 nucleotides) under uncultured archaeon. Its description in RNAcentral is "bacterial SSU rRNA". It matches the Rfam family "Archaeal small subunit ribosomal RNA", at positions 13 to 1054 of the family's 1478-position model. The record is from RNAcentral.